UAAGCAUAUCAAUAAGCGGAGGAAAAGAAACCAACAGGGAUUGCCCUAGUAACGGCGAGUGAAGCGGCAACAGCUCAAAUUUGAAAUCUGGCGCAAGCCCGAGUUGUAAUUUGUAGAGGAUGCUUCUGGGUAGCGACCGGUCUAAGUUCCUUGGAACAGGACGUCAUAGAGGGUGAGAAUCCCGUAUGUGACCGGCCCGCACCCUUUACGUAGCUCCUUCGACGAGUCGAGUUGUUUGGGAAUGCAGCUCUAAAUGGGAGGUAAAUUUCUUCUAAAGCUAAAUACCGGCCAGAGACCGAUAGCGCACAAGUAGAGUGAUCGAAAGAUGAAAAGUACUUUGGAAAGAGAGUUAAAAAGCACGUGAAAUUGUUGAAAGGGAAGCGCCUGCAAUCAGACUUCGCGGCAGUGUUCCGCCGGUCUUCUGACCGGUUCAUUCUCUGUCGCGAGGCCAUCAUCGUCUCGGCCCGCUGGAUAAGACCUUGGGAAUGUAGCUCACCUUCGGAGGAGUGUUAUAGCUCAUGGUGAUGCAGCGAGGCUGGGGCGAGGUCCGCGCUUCGGCAAGGAUGAUGGCGUAAUGGUUGUCGGCGGCCCGUCUUGAAACACGGACCAAGGAGUCUAACAUCUAUGCGAGUGUUCGGGUGUCAAACCCCUACGCGUAAUGAAAGUGAACGGAGGUGGGAACCGCAAGGUGCACCAUCGACCGAUCCUGAUGUCCUCGGAUGGAUUUGAGUAAGAGCAUAGCUGUUGGGACCCGAAAGAUGGUGAACUAUGCCUGAAUAGGGUGAAGCCAGAGGAAACUCUGGUGGAGGCUCGCAGCGGUUCUGACGUGCAAAUCGAUCGUCAAAUUUGGGUAUAGGGGCGAAAGACUAAUCGAACCAUCUAGUAGCUGGUUCCUGCCGAAGUU
RNAcentral lists this ribosomal RNA (904 nucleotides) under Septoria celastri. RNAcentral describes it as "LSU rRNA". It matches the Rfam family "Eukaryotic large subunit ribosomal RNA", at positions 35 to 968 of the family's 3401-position model. Lineage: Eukaryota; Fungi; Ascomycota; Dothideomycetes; Mycosphaerellales; Mycosphaerellaceae. The record is from RNAcentral.